CCUCUCCUGCCCAUGGUGGGAGGUUGGGAAGGACAUUCCCCCAUUUCCAUUUGCUCUGCCAUUCAAAACCUUGUGAGGGCCCUCAGGGAAGAAUCCCUUUGCAGGUCAUAAACUGACCUGCAGAAUUAUGGGAUCUUAACUGUGGGGAGAGACCUAGAAGACCGGCUAGUGACCAGAUUCUCAUCUAACUCCUUUUUUUUUGCAGAUGAGGAAACUGAGGCCCCACGUGGUGAAGACAAUUUUUACCCGAAUCCACCCACAACAAGAGACCAUUUGGAUAAUGUACAUUAUGGGAAGAGAACAGAGUCUCAGUGAAGAUCAUGUUUCCCCAGCAACACAGGUGCCAGGAGUAGCUGGCUCUGGUCCCAGCCCAGACUCAGAAAUCCUGAGCCACCAGACCAUUUCUAGAUUAACAAAGGCCUGCAUUAAUUUGAUUUCAGUGACCCACUGGAAACCAGUGUCAGCAUAACAACAGUUACGAGAGCUAAACCUACAAAAUAGAAACACAAGUAAAACUUGUUCAAGUGGUUUGCAGUCAUUGAACAUAGAUCAGCUCCUAUGAAAACAAACUCCAUGGGUUUUCUUUGAUGGCAGUUCUGCUCUAAAGAUGGAUAAGGAAGGAGGUUCCAAGAUGGCCGAAUAGGAACAGCUCCAGUCUACAGCUCCCAGCAUGAGCAACGCAGAAGACAGGGGAUUUCUGCAUUUCCAAUUGAGAACACAGGAGCUAUGUGGAGAGUUGAUGGAGGGACAUUCCAGGCAGAGAGAACAGCAAACACAAAGGCCUUGAAGGGAGCGGUGGCUUACAUCUGCAAUCCCACCACUUUGG
Molecule: long non-coding RNA, 826 nt
Filed under: Homo sapiens (human)
Lineage: Eukaryota; Metazoa; Chordata; Mammalia; Primates; Hominidae
Description: HSALNT0347465
Source: RNAcentral